This 76-nucleotide transfer RNA is filed under the name Pseudonocardiales bacterium. Its description in RNAcentral is "tRNA-Glu". It matches the Rfam family "tRNA". From Rfam's summary of the family: Transfer RNA (tRNA) molecules are approximately 80 nucleotides in length. Their secondary structure includes four short double-helical elements and three loops (D, anti-codon, and T loops). The record is from RNAcentral. Lineage: Bacteria; Bacillati; Actinomycetota; Actinomycetes; Pseudonocardiales.
GGCCCCAUCGUCUAGUGGCCCAGGACGCCGCCCUCUCAAGGCGGUAGCACGGGUUCGAAUCCCGUUGGGGCUACAA